UGCGCGACUUUAGGAGCGCAAUAUUCUUCCGCUGAAGAACGAGUGCAUAUUUCCCGAUGCAAAGAUAAUAACCUUUUUAUUACAUACACAUCUACACGUAUAAAUAUAAUGUAAAUAACAUAAUUUUGUUCAAUAGCCUGAAUAGGAUUGACAAUACUGAACUAAACAGAAAAAAAAUAGUGCCAGAACAAACACUGAAUUACGUCAAGCAUCCGAUAUGAAAUUCAGGCGUCAGUGUAUGGAAAGAUAUUGACGUUUCCGGUACCAGUGUAACUUAACGGGGAAUAGAAACGUGUAUGUAAUAACAUGUGAAAUCUGCUUGAUAUAUAAACUUUUGAAGAGCUAAACCUCUGACACAUGUAAAUAUUUGAGCAAAUUUAAUUUAGUCAUUUGGAAAUUUGGGAAAUGGCGGUCAUCUUAAUUUGAACGGUCUGUGUAACCAAAUAACGCAUUGUAUUGAUAGUUUAUUUGGUACCUCUUAGCCUUUUAGAUGAUACAGGGAUAAAAGAACUACUAUUGUCAGCCACUAAGCAUGUUUCAAAGUUUUUAAACACACUAUAACAAUAAACAUUUUGUUUAAAUAUCUUUUUAAUGCAAUGUUUCCUUGAUAUCUGUCACUUGAUGUUUUCAAUGGAUUAGAGUCCUAAUUUAAUGUAAAGUGUGUAAUAUUUAGUAAUGGAAGUACAAAAUUUGUAGGAAGUUGUUUCUUUAUUUCAGUAUAAAAUAUUCUGUGGAUUCAUCUGAUGAGAAUGCCAGUGUUGAUCUGUAUGAUUUAAUUAAACACAGAUAUUGAUACCUUCAGGACACACAUGUAGAGAGCAACAAGCCCUGUCCAGCCGUGCAUGUAAAUGUGAUUCAGAAACUUUGUGAAUAUGUAAAUAUUACACUGAUGCUGGAGGAAAACACCUAGCUCUAAACAUGCUACACAAUUUUUGGUACAUACCAGUCUUUAUGGACAUAGAAAAGCUUCCGUAGUUCUCCAGGAAUGCUGGUCAAGGGACUAGAAUCAAGGGAAUAUCUUACUGAAAUCGUAAGAUAAGAUUUCGUGCAUUUUGCUUAAAAAAUAAUUUUAUCGAAAUAUUCACGACUAUAUGUAACCGUUAUGUAUACCAUAGUAACGUCACGUUACAUUGUAUAUAUACUGUUGAGCCGAUAGGCGCAACUAGUUUGAAUUUUUAUAAUUAAAUACUGUUGGAAAGGCAUAUUAAGUCAUUUAUAUGCCCAAAGCUAUUAGUCUAAUAUUGAAUUAACUAUUAAUUUUCAACAAAAUCAUUUUAAAUAUUCACGGUAAGGUUCAGAGCCCAAAAUCAAUGGGUAAGGUUUGAUGCUAUUCAAACACAUCAAUGUAGAAAUUCAAUAUUUUUCGUUUCAUGACAAAGCUGAUUGAAUUAUUUUAGAGUACGUCAAAGCAAAAAAGCAGAGAGACUUAAGGUGUUCAAUUUUCUUUUAUUCUGAUAACAGCUACAAUAGUACCAGGCAUAGUUGUAAUAUUUACGUUACAUUUUAUGGAAACCAUACCCUUGAAGAAAAAUAUAGUUGAAUAGCUCGGCCGUAUGAUGAAACUAUUCUGAACUAAGGCAAUGCAUGAUGGAAAUUUUACGUAUUGCGUUAAACAAAUAUUCUAGUGUUUGCUAACCUUCAUACAGUUUAUAAUCAGCAAUUGGUUCACUGUAGAACAUGACAUGGAGACUGUUUUACAU
Molecule: long non-coding RNA, 1700 nt
Organism: Mercenaria mercenaria
Lineage: Eukaryota; Metazoa; Mollusca; Bivalvia; Venerida; Veneridae
Exons: 3
Source: RefSeq, a predicted model, not a curated record